AUCAAAAACAUAGCUUCUUGCAACCAUAAGAAGUUCUAUCUGCCCGGUGACCAUUGUUUAACGGCCGCGACUAAGUGCUAAGGUAGCAUAAUAAUUUGUCUUUUUAUUGGAGACUAGAAUGAAAGAAGAUAACGAGGCUUAACUGUCUCCAAGCACCCUAUUAAAAUUGAUUUAAGAAUGAAAAAUCUCUUAUAACAGUGAAGGACGAAAAGACCCUGUAGAGUUUGUAGUGAAAUUAAUAAAUUAAUUAAUCCACUUUUAUUGGGGCAAUAAAAGAUCAAAUUUAAACUCUUUUAAAAAGUUUUUUGACAUAUCAAAAAGAAUGAUCCUCAAAGAGAAAAAAGAAAAACUACCUCAGGGAUAACAGCGUAAUUCUUCCAGAGAGAUCUAAUUGAAGGAAUGAGUUUGCGACCUCGAUGUUGGACUAAGGUAACUUUUAAAUGUAGAAGUUUAUUACAGUAAGCCUGUUCGGCUUUUAAAACCUUACAUGAUCUGAGUUCAGAC
Molecule: ribosomal RNA, 504 nt
Filed under: Bugula neritina
Lineage: Eukaryota; Metazoa; Bryozoa; Gymnolaemata; Cheilostomatida; Bugulidae
Description: partial large subunit ribosomal RNA
Rfam family: Bacterial large subunit ribosomal RNA
Source: RNAcentral